This 335-nucleotide ribosomal RNA is filed under the name uncultured Anaerolineaceae bacterium. Its description in RNAcentral is "bacterial SSU rRNA". It matches the Rfam family "Bacterial small subunit ribosomal RNA", at positions 1032 to 1382 of the family's 1533-position model. The record is from RNAcentral. Lineage: Bacteria; Bacillati; Chloroflexota; Anaerolineae; Anaerolineales; Anaerolineaceae.
AUACAGGUGUUGCAUGGCUGUCGUCAGCUCGUGUCGUGAGAUGUUCGGUUAAGUCCGCUAACGAGCGCAACCUCGCCGUAUGUUACAAGUGUCAUACGGGACUGCCGGUAAAAGCGGAGGAAGGUGAGGAUGAUGUCAAGUCAGCAUGGCCUUUAUAUCCUGGGCUACACACACGCUACAAUGGGAAGGGACAAUAGGUUGCGAAGCCGCGAGGCGGAGCCAAUCCAGCAAAACUUCCCUCAGUUCAGAUUGCAGGCUGCAACUCGCCUGCAUGAAGUUGGAGUUGCUAGUAAACGCAGGUCAGCCAUACUGCGUUGAAUACGUUCCCGGGGCUU